Molecule: ribosomal RNA, 498 nt
Filed under: uncultured Glomus
Lineage: Eukaryota; Fungi; Glomeromycota; Glomeromycetes; Glomerales; Glomeraceae
Description: SSU rRNA
Rfam family: Eukaryotic small subunit ribosomal RNA
Source: RNAcentral
AGCAGCCGCGGUAAUUCCAGCUCCAAUAGCGUAUAUUAAAGUUGUUGCAGUUAGAAAGCUCGUAGUUGAAUUUCGGGAUCAAGGAAUCGGUCAUGCCUCGGUAUGUACUGGUUUUAUUGGUUCUCACCUUCUAAAGAACCAUAAUGUCAUUCAUUUGAUGUUAUGGGGAAUUAGGACUGUUACCUUGAAAAAUUAGAGUGUUUAAAGCAGGCUUACGCUUGAAUACAUUAGCAUGGAAUAAUGAAAUAGGACAUCAGAUUCUAUUUUGUGGUUUCUAGGAUCGAUGUAAUGAUUAANAGGGAUAGUUGGGGGCAUUAGUAUUCAAUUGUCAGAGGUGAAAUUCUUGGAUUUAUUGAAGACUAAACUACUGCGAAAGCAUUUGCCAAGGAUGUUUUCAUUAAUCAAGAACGAAAGUUAGGGGAUCGAAGACGAUCAGAUACCGUCGUAGUCUUAACCAUAAACUAUGCCGACUAGGGAUCGGAUGAUGUAAUUUUANAA